This 253-nucleotide ribosomal RNA is filed under the name uncultured bacterium. RNAcentral describes it as "partial 16S ribosomal RNA". It matches the Rfam family "Bacterial small subunit ribosomal RNA", at positions 524 to 776 of the family's 1533-position model. The record is from RNAcentral.
UACGGAGGGUGCAAGCGUUAUCCGGAUUUACUGGGUUUAAAGGGUGUGUAGGCGGGUCUUUAAGUCAGUGGUGAAAUCUCCGAGCUUAACUUGGAAACUGCCAUUGAUACUAUUGAUCUUGAAUUCUGUUGAGGUAGGCGGAAUAAGUCAUGUAGCGGUGAAAUGCAUAGAUAUGACUUAGAACACCAAUUGCGAAGGCAGCUUGCUAAACAGAUAUUGACGCUGAGGCACGAAAGCGUGGGGAUCAAACAGG